AUUUAUAUAGUUUAAAUAAAACAUUACAUUUUCAUUGUAAAAAUAAAAACUUUUAUUUUUUAUAAAUA
Molecule: transfer RNA, 68 nt
Filed under: Odontomantis sp. JZ-2017
Lineage: Eukaryota; Metazoa; Arthropoda; Insecta; Mantodea; Hymenopodidae
Description: tRNA-Glu
Source: RNAcentral